GUGCCAGCCGCCGCGGUAAUACGGAGGAUGCGAGCGUUAUCCGGAUUUAUUGGGUUUAAAGGGUGCGUAGGCGGAAUUUUAAGCGUGAGGUGAAAUACCCGGGCUCAACCUGGGAACUGCCUCGCGAACUGGGAUUCUGGAAUGCUCCUGCCGUGGGAGGAAUGUGUGGUGUAGCGGUGAAAUGCAUAGAGAUCACACAGAACACCGAUUGCGAAGGCAUCUCACGAAGGGGUUAUUGACGCUGAGGCACGAAAGCGUGGGGAUCAAACAGGAUUAGAUACCCUGGUAGUCCACGCAGUAAACGAUGAUGGCUAACCGCUGGGCAGUUGUUGUUCAGUGGCCAAGCGAAAGCGAUAAGCCAUCCACCUGGGGAGUACGACCGCAAGGUUGAAACUCAAAGGAAUUGACGGGGGCCCGCACAAGCGGAGGAACAUGUGGUUUAAUUCGAUGAUACGCGAGGAACCUUACCCGGGCUCGAACGGCUGGUGAACGAUACAGAGAUGUUGAGGUCCUUCGGGACGCCAGUCGAGGUGCUGCAUGGUUGUCGUCAGCUCGUGCCGUGAGGUGUCGGCUCAAGUGCCAUAACGAGCGCAACCCUUGCCGUCAGUUACCAUCAAGUGAUGUUGGGGACUCUGGCGGGACUGCCACCGCAAGGUGUGAGGAAGGGGGGGAUGACGUCAAAUCAGCACGGCCCUUACGUCCGGGGCGACACACGUGUUACAAUGGCGGCCACAGAGGGGCACUACCUGGUGACAGGAUGGGAAUCUCGAAAAGCCGUCUCAGUCCGGAUCGGAGUCUGCAACCCGACUCCGUGAAGCUGGAUUCGCUAGUAAUCGCGCAUCAGCCAUGGCGCGGUGAAUACGUUCCCGGGCCUUGUACACACCGCCCGU
This 890-nucleotide ribosomal RNA is filed under the name uncultured bacterium. RNAcentral describes it as "bacterial SSU rRNA". It matches the Rfam family "Bacterial small subunit ribosomal RNA", at positions 505 to 1397 of the family's 1533-position model. The record is from RNAcentral.